CGGGCUGUAGCGCAGGGGUUUAGCGCACUAGUCUGGGGGACUAGGGGUCGCCGGUUCAAAUCCGGCCAGCCCGA
This 74-nucleotide transfer RNA is filed under the name Spirochaetales bacterium. RNAcentral describes it as "tRNA-Pro". It matches the Rfam family "tRNA". Rfam says of the family: Transfer RNA (tRNA) molecules are approximately 80 nucleotides in length. Lineage: Bacteria; Pseudomonadati; Spirochaetota; Spirochaetia; Spirochaetales. The record is from RNAcentral.